ACGCUCGACACCUACGGGUGGCAGCAGUUGGGAAUAUUGGACAAUGGAGGAAACUCUGAUCCAGUGACGCCGCGUGAAGGAAGAAGGUCUUCGGAUUGUAAACUUAUUUUGUCAGGGAAGAAAAAUGACUGUACCUGAAGAAAAAGCACCGGCUAACUACGCGCCAGCAGCCGCGGUAAUCUGAGCGGGCUGGCAAGGC
This 199-nucleotide ribosomal RNA is filed under the name uncultured bacterium. Its description in RNAcentral is "partial 16S ribosomal RNA". It matches the Rfam family "Bacterial small subunit ribosomal RNA", at positions 328 to 539 of the family's 1533-position model. The record is from RNAcentral.